GGUAAACGCUGGCGGCGUGCCUAAAACAUGCAAGUCGAACGGGCGUCUCUCUUCGGGGGGACGUCAGUGGCGGACGGCUGAGUAACGCGUGGGUGACGGACCCAGCAGUGGGGCAUAACUGCCCGAAAGGGUGGCUAAUUCCGCAUACGCUCUGGUCAUUGGUGGCCAGAGGAAAGCCCUCGGAAGGGGGCGCUGGUGGACUGGCCCGCGUCCGAUUAGCUGGUUGGUGGGGUAAGAGCCUACCAAGGCGACGAUCGGUAGCUGGUCUCAGAGGAUG
Molecule: ribosomal RNA, 277 nt
Filed under: uncultured bacterium
Lineage: Bacteria
Description: partial 16S ribosomal RNA
Rfam family: Bacterial small subunit ribosomal RNA
Source: RNAcentral